AGAUUAGAGUUGAUCGAGGCUCACGAUGAACGCUAGCUACAGGCUUAGCACCUGCUUCUCCCCGGGCAUCAGGAGAGAAGCUUGCUUUUCUUGCUGGCGACCGGCGCACGGGUGAUUAACGCGUAUCCAACCUUCCCCUUAGUAGGGCAUAGCCCGGCGAAAGUCGGAUUAAUACCCUAUGUUGUCCGACAAAGGCAUCUGACUUGGACCACAGACUCGUCGCUAAGGGAUGGGGAUGCGUCUGAUUUCUUCAUCUUUCUUGGCAACGGCCCACCUACCCUACCAUCAUCACGGGUUCUGAGAGGAACGUCCGCCACAUUGGUACUGACACACGGACCAAACUCCUACGGGAGGCAGCAGUGAGGAAUAUUGCUCAAUGGUCGAGAGCCUGAACUAUCCAAAUAGCGUGCAUGACGACUGCCCUAUGGGUUGUAACUGCUUUUAUGCUGGGAUAAGUGACGUACGCGUCGUUUUUGACUACGCAGAUACGACCGGGUAUUCCGUGCACAGCCGCGGUAUUCUGAUGUCUGACGUGAUCUGAUUACUGGAUGAUGUAGCGCAGCUGAUGUUAACGAUGCUGAAUGUCGGCUGACCGGGCAUUCGUGCGAAUUGCGUUUUGAUGUGUGCAAGGGGGGGAAUCUGGUGUAGGGGGAAGGUGUUUAAACAACACAUUGAAGGUGGGCCAGAUCCAGGUCUAAGGUACUGUACGAUACG
This 714-nucleotide ribosomal RNA is filed under the name uncultured bacterium. RNAcentral's name for it is "bacterial SSU rRNA". The stretch from base 7 to 539 matches the Rfam family "Bacterial small subunit ribosomal RNA", at positions 9 to 546 of the family's 1533-position model. The record is from RNAcentral.